GUUCUUGUAGUUGAAGUACAACGAUGGUUUUUCAUAUCAUUAGUCGCGGUCGUGGUCCGUGCGAGAAUG
Non-coding RNA from Gorilla gorilla gorilla (western lowland gorilla), 69 nucleotides. The record is from Ensembl. NCBI's taxonomy places the organism in Eukaryota, Metazoa, Chordata, Mammalia, Primates, Hominidae.